Molecule: long non-coding RNA, 1034 nt
Filed under: Equus asinus (donkey)
Lineage: Eukaryota; Metazoa; Chordata; Mammalia; Perissodactyla; Equidae
Description: lncRNA (ENSEASG00005027107.1)
Source: RNAcentral
GUUGAGCCCCUUCUCCGUGCUGGGUGGUGCUGGGGACCCAUCGAUGACAUGACAGCCCUGGACCUGCCCUCCCGGGGCUCACAGUUCAGUGGGGGAGACAGAAGGGGCAGCCCAGAGGGGACACCUGACCCAGCCAGGGCACUUAGGCUGGACUGAGACCCAGAGGAGGACAGACCCGACUUUUCCGGACCUCCUGGGCCACGGUGAGACUCAGAGACGGUAGAUGACUUGCCCAGGGUCACACAGCGCUGGAAUCUGAACUCAGCCAGUCUGGCUUUGCUCAAAUCGCCUCCGUGUGUCUCCAGAGUCCGUGACUGGACACCCCUUCCUCCUUAGGGUCCCCCAAAGUCCGGGGCCAGGAGGAGAGGGUGCAGGAAAGCCGCCCAGGGUGAGCCAGGGCAGGUCAGGAGAAGCCUCUCUGGGGGCAGGGGACAGUGCCCCGCCCUGCUACUCACAGGGGUCCCUCCAGACGCGCCUCUCAGUCACGAUCAGGUGGGGGCCGGUCUGGAAGGGACCACCCACUGACUAACCAUCUCUAUCAGACUUGUUGAGGGCGACACGGGCUGGGGUCCGGCUCCCCCGGCUCCCCCGGCUCCCCCGGUGCCCGUCACAGCCUCUCCCAUUUUCCUGACGGCGCGCACAGAACAGGAUCCCCAUUUUCAGGUGCAUAGACGGAGACCCACCCAAAGAGAGUGGACAUUCUCGCUGCCAUCUCCGGGUCACCAAAGUGUCCACCCCACCUCUGAGCCCUCAGCGGAUGCUCCCGCUGCGGUCGGGAUGGAGGAGAUGGUCGUGUCCACCCUGGACCGGGACAGGCUCGCGGUCCCUUCCGGGCCAGCUGCGGCCAGAGGGCACACUGUGUGAAUUGUCUCCAAAAUGCCCCCUAUGGAUCCUCCCCUCGCUGUGGGCGUCUGUGCUGCUCCCAUCAAGAGGUGGUCUGUUUUCCCUCCGCUUGAAUCCAUGACUUGGUUUGAUUUAAUUUGACCAAGAGGUCAAGUCCCAGCCAAUCGCUCCCCUCCCCAAACCCUUUAAAG